This 151-nucleotide unclassified non-coding RNA is filed under the name uncultured Teratosphaeriaceae. RNAcentral describes it as "sequence contains ITS1". Lineage: Eukaryota; Fungi; Ascomycota; Dothideomycetes; Mycosphaerellales; Teratosphaeriaceae. The record is from RNAcentral.
CCGAGUGAGGGCCUCCGGCCCGACCUCCAACCCUUUGUUAUCAAAACCACUGUUGCCUCGGGGGCGACCCGUGCCUCACGGCUUCGGGGCCCCCGGCGGACAAUUCUAAAACUCUGCAUCUUUGCGUCGGGUUAAAAAGUUUAAUUGAUUA